UUGAAUACUUUGAUGGCUUUUGACCAUGGCCUUCCUUAAUGAUUUGCUUUUUUACUUUUUCAUGAAGAAUUUCCAUAUCAGAUUCAACUUUCGGAGGUCCAGCAGCAUCUUGAGGUGGUUCCCCAUGCACAAAUGCAGUAUUUUCAGUAACUAUUUCAUUCUCAUCAACAAUUUCCAUAUCAGAUUCAACUUUCGGAGGUCCAGCAGCAUCUUGAGGUGGUUUCCCAUGCACAAAUGCAGUAUUUUCAGUACCUAUUUCAUUCUUAUCAUCUUCACCUGAGAUGAACAUACUUAUAAACUUCGUUACCCGGACUCGGCAAUUUGGGGUGCAGUACCUGUGCCGACACGGGAUACGGGUCAGAUCCGGAAAAGAACCAGCGGAAUCGACG
RNAcentral lists this long non-coding RNA (389 nucleotides) under Gossypium barbadense (sea-island cotton). Its description in RNAcentral is "long non-coding RNA (GBAR_LNC005958)". Lineage: Eukaryota; Viridiplantae; Streptophyta; Magnoliopsida; Malvales; Malvaceae. The record is from RNAcentral.